This 404-nucleotide ribosomal RNA is filed under the name uncultured Pseudoalteromonas sp. RNAcentral describes it as "bacterial SSU rRNA". It matches the Rfam family "Bacterial small subunit ribosomal RNA", at positions 355 to 776 of the family's 1533-position model. The record is from RNAcentral. Lineage: Bacteria; Pseudomonadati; Pseudomonadota; Gammaproteobacteria; Alteromonadales; Pseudoalteromonadaceae. RNAcentral also lists the same sequence under 1 other name.
UGGGGAAUAUUGCGCAAUGGGGGAAACCCUGACGCAGCCAUGCCGCGUGAGUGAAGAAGGUCUUCGGAUUGUAAAGCUCUUUCAACGGGGAAGAUGAUGACGGUACCCGUAGAAGAAGCCCCGGCUAACUUCGUGCCAGCAGCCGCGGUAAUACGAAGGGGGCUAGCGUUGUUCGGAAUUACUGGGCGUAAAGGGCGUGUAGGCGGUGCGAUCAGUCAGAGGUGAAAGCCCCGGGCUCAACCUGGGAAUUGCCUUUGAUACUGUCACACUAGAGUUCGGGAGAGGGUAGUGGAAUUCCCAGUGUAGAGGUGAAAUUCGUAGAUAUUGGGAAGAACACCGGUGGCGAAGGCGGCUACCUGGACCGAUACUGACGCUGAGGCGCGAAAGCGUGGGGAGCAAACAGG